GGGCCCGCACAAGCGGAGGAACAUGUGGUUUAAUUCGAUGAUACGCGAGGAACCUUACCCGGGCUUGAAAUGCAGAUGAUCGAAGUGGAGACACUUUUUCCAGCGAUGGCGUCUGUGUAGGUGCUGCAUGGUUGUCGUCAGCUCGUGCCGUGAGGUGUCGGCUUAAGUGCCAUAACGAGCGCAACCCUCAUUACUAGUUACCAUCAGGUCUAGCUGGGGACUCUAGUGAGACUGCCGGCGUAAGCUGUGAGGAAGGUGGGGAUGACGUCAAAUCAGCACGGCCCUUAUGUCCGGGGCGACACACGUGUUACAAUGGGGAGUACAGCGGGAAGCUACCUGGCGACAGGAUGCCAAUCUUUUAAAACUCUUCUCAGUUCGGAUCGGAGUCUGCAACUCGACUUCGUGAAGCUGGAUUCGCUAGUAAUCGCGCAUCAGCCACGGCGCGGUGAAUACGUUCCCGGGCCUU
This 466-nucleotide ribosomal RNA is filed under the name uncultured bacterium. RNAcentral's name for it is "bacterial SSU rRNA". It matches the Rfam family "Bacterial small subunit ribosomal RNA", at positions 917 to 1382 of the family's 1533-position model. The record is from RNAcentral.